RNAcentral lists this transfer RNA (72 nucleotides) under Dactylococcopsis salina PCC 8305. Its description in RNAcentral is "tRNA-Thr (CGT) (tRNA-Thr-CGT-1-1)". It matches the Rfam family "tRNA". Rfam says of the family: Transfer RNA (tRNA) molecules are approximately 80 nucleotides in length. Their secondary structure includes four short double-helical elements and three loops (D, anti-codon, and T loops). The record is from Rfam by way of RNAcentral. Lineage: Bacteria; Bacillati; Cyanobacteriota; Cyanophyceae; Nodosilineales; Cymatolegaceae. RNAcentral also lists the same sequence under 1 other name.
GCCAGCAUAGCUCAGUGGUAGAGCAACUCACUCGUAAUGAGUAGGUCGUCGGUUCAAAUCCGAUUGCUGGCU